This 235-nucleotide ribosomal RNA is filed under the name uncultured Streptococcaceae bacterium. Its description in RNAcentral is "partial 16S ribosomal RNA". It matches the Rfam family "Bacterial small subunit ribosomal RNA", at positions 104 to 334 of the family's 1533-position model. The record is from RNAcentral. Lineage: Bacteria; Bacillati; Bacillota; Bacilli; Lactobacillales; Streptococcaceae.
GGGUGAGUAACGCGUAGGUAACCUACCUCAUAGCGGGGGAUAACUAUUGGAAACGAUAGCUAAUACCGCAUAAGAUAGACUAACGCAUGUUAGUAAUUUAAAAGGGGCAAUUGCUCCACUAUGAGAUGGACCUGCGUUGUAUUAGCUAGUUGGUGAGGUAAAGGCCCACCAAGGCGACGAUACAUAGCCGACCUGAGAGGGUGAUCGGCCACACUGGGACUGAGACACGGCCCAG